CGAAAGGACCUUACCUACCCUUGACAUGGUCGGAAUCCUGAAGAGAUUCGGGAGUGCUCGAAAGAGAACCGGCGCACAGGUGCUGCAUGGCUGUCGUCAGCUCGUGUCGUGAGAUGUUGGGUUAAGUCCCGCAACGAGCGCAACCCUUGUCCUUAGUUGCUACGCAAGAGCACUCUAAGGAGACUGCCGGUGACAAACCGGAGGAAGGUGGGGAUGACGUCAAGUCCUCAUGGCCCUUAUGGGUAGGGCUUCACACGUCAUACAAUGGUCGGAACAGAGGGUUGCCAACCCGCGAGGGGGAGCUAAUCCCAGAAAACCGUUCUAGUCCGGAUUGCACUCUGCAACUCGAGUGCAUGAAGCUGGAAUCGCUAGUAAUCGC
This 379-nucleotide ribosomal RNA is filed under the name Burkholderia sp. FES48. RNAcentral's name for it is "bacterial SSU rRNA". It matches the Rfam family "Bacterial small subunit ribosomal RNA", at positions 961 to 1345 of the family's 1533-position model. The record is from RNAcentral. Lineage: Bacteria; Pseudomonadati; Pseudomonadota; Betaproteobacteria; Burkholderiales; Burkholderiaceae.